This 68-nucleotide transfer RNA is filed under the name Pachydactylus vansoni. Its description in RNAcentral is "tRNA-Tyr". The record is from RNAcentral. Lineage: Eukaryota; Metazoa; Chordata; Lepidosauria; Squamata; Gekkonidae.
CUUGGUAAUAAGGAUCGCCUCCUGUGCGCGAGUCUACAGCCCGCUGCCUUAUCCUCGGCCAUAUUACC